GAUGAACGCUGGCGGCGUGCUUAACACAUGCAAGUCGAACGAAGCACCUUGAUUUGAUUCUUCGGAUGAAGAUCUUGGUGACUGAGUGGCGGACGGGUGAGUAACGCGUGGGUAACCUGCCUCAUACAGGGGGAUAACAGUUAGAAAUGACUGCUAAUACCGCAUAAGACCACAGCACCGCAUGGUGCAGGGGUAAAAACUCCGGUGGUAUGAGAUGGACCCGCGUCUGAUUAGGUAGUUGGUGGGGUAACGGCCUACCAAGCCGACGAUCAGUAGCCGACCUGAGAGGGUGACCGGCCACAUUGGGACUGAGACACGGCCCAAACUCCACGGGAGGCAGCAGUGGGGAAUAUUGCACAAUGGGGGAAACCCUGAUGCAGCGACGCCGCGUGAGCGAUGAAGUAUUUCGGUAUGUAAAGCUCUAUCAGCAGGGAAGAAAAUGACGGUACCUGACUAAGAAGCACCGGCUAAAUACGUG
Molecule: ribosomal RNA, 478 nt
Filed under: uncultured bacterium
Lineage: Bacteria
Description: partial 16S ribosomal RNA
Rfam family: Bacterial small subunit ribosomal RNA
Source: RNAcentral